Molecule: ribosomal RNA, 478 nt
Filed under: uncultured bacterium
Lineage: Bacteria
Description: partial 16S ribosomal RNA
Rfam family: Bacterial small subunit ribosomal RNA
Source: RNAcentral
GAUGAACGCUAGCGGGAGGCCUAACACAUGCAAGCCGAGCGGUAUUGUUUCUUCGGAAAUGAGAGAGCGGCGUACGGGUGCGUAACACGUGUGCAACCUGCCUUUAUCUGGGGGAUAGCCUUUCGAAAGGAAGAUUAAUACUCCAUAAUAUAUUGAACGGCAUCGUUUAAUAUUGAAAGCUCCGGCGGAUAGAGAUGGGCACGCGCAAGAUUAGCUAGUUGGUGAGGUAACGGCUCACCAAGGCGAUGAUCUUAGGGGGCCUGAGAGGGUGAUCCCCCACACUGGUACUGAGACACGGACCAGACUCCUACGGGAGGCAGCAGUGAGGAAUAUUGGUCAAUGGGUGCAAGCCUGAACCAGCCAUCCCGCGUGAAGGACGACUGCCCUAUGGGUUGUAAACUUCUUUUGUAUAGGGAUAAACCUACCCUCGAGAGGGUAGCUGAAGGUACUAUACGAAUAAGCACCGGCUAACUCCGUG